Non-coding RNA from Caenorhabditis elegans, 115 nucleotides. The record is from Ensembl. NCBI's taxonomy places the organism in Eukaryota, Metazoa, Nematoda, Chromadorea, Rhabditida, Rhabditidae.
UGAUACUGAAAUCGAAUUAGACUACCAAAAAAUUCCUCGUGGGGUAAGUUCAAACUUUAUUAAUUUGACUGAAACUAAUACACAAAGAACUUUUCUUUAAAUAUUUUAAUAUCAA